This 660-nucleotide ribosomal RNA is filed under the name uncultured bacterium. Its description in RNAcentral is "bacterial SSU rRNA". It matches the Rfam family "Bacterial small subunit ribosomal RNA", at positions 94 to 788 of the family's 1533-position model. The record is from RNAcentral.
AGUGGCGGACGGGUGAGUAAUGCGUGAGAAUCUGCCUUGGGGUCGGGGACAACCACUGGAAACGGUGGCUAAUACCGGAUAAGCCGAUUGGUGAAAGAUUUAUUGCCCGAAGAGGAGCUCGCGUCUGAUUAGCUAGUUGGUGAGGUAAGAGCUCACCAAGGCAGCGAUCAGUAGCUGGUCUGAGAGGACGAUCAGCCACACUGGGACUGAGACACGGCCCAGACUCCUACGGGAGGCAGCAGUGGGGAAUUUUCCGCAAUGGGCGAAAGCCUGACGGAGCAAGACCGCGUGAGGGAGGAAGGCUCUUGGGUUGUAAACCUCUUUUCUCAGGGAAGAAGCUCUGACGGUACCUGAGGAAUCAGCCUCGGCUAACUCCGUGCCAGCAGCCGCGGUAAUACGGAGGAGGCAAGCGUUAUCCGGAAUUAUUGGGCGUAAAGCGUCCGCAGGUGGCGAUUCAAGUCUGCUGUCAAAGCACGGGGCUUAACUCCGUAAAGGCAGUGGAAACUGAAUAGCUAGAGUGCCGUAGGGGUAGAGGGAAUUCCCGGUGUAGCGGUGAAAUGCGUAGAGAUCGGGAAGAACAUCGGUGGCGAAAGCGCUCUACUGGACGGCAACUGACACUCAGGGACGAAAGCUAGGGGAGCGAAUGGGAUUAGAUACCCC